Molecule: ribosomal RNA, 253 nt
Filed under: uncultured bacterium
Lineage: Bacteria
Description: partial 16S ribosomal RNA
Rfam family: Bacterial small subunit ribosomal RNA
Source: RNAcentral
UACGUAGGGUGCGAGCGUUAAUCGGAAUUACUGGGCGUAAAGCGUGCGCAGGCGGUUCGUUAUGUCCGUUGUGAAAGCCCCGGGCUCAACCUGGGAAUGGCAAUGGAAACUGGCGAGCUAGAGUGUGGCAGAGGGGGGUGGAAUUCCGCGUGUAGCAGUGAAAUGCGUAGAGAUGCGGAGGAACACCGAUGGCGAAGGCAGCCCCCUGGGCCAACACUGACGCUCAGGCACGAAAGCGUGGGGAGCAAACAGG